UAGAGGUAAUCUUAAAGUUAAGAGUAUUAUUUACAAUAAUACUAUCCUGUUAAAAUCAGGGCCUUUAA
This 68-nucleotide transfer RNA is filed under the name Rhynchothorax sp. JZ-2022. RNAcentral describes it as "tRNA-Val". The record is from RNAcentral. Lineage: Eukaryota; Metazoa; Arthropoda; Pycnogonida; Pantopoda; Tanystylidae.